GUCCUCAACUGGCGUCUUCAUUAAAUAGUACCCACAAAACACGAGUCUCAACGUCAACAGUGAAGAGGCGACUCCAGUAUGCUGGCCUUCUAGGCAAAGUUCCUCUGUCCUGUGUCUGUGUUCCCCGAGUCGCCUCCUCACUGUUGACAUUGAGACUGGUGUUUUGUGGGUACUAUUUAAUGAAGCUGCCAGUUGAGGACUUGUGAGGCGUCUGUUUCUCAAACUAGACACUCUAAUGUACUUGUCCUCGGCUAGCGAUUCUCUGGUCCUGCCCCUAUAGUUCUGAUUCAGAGAGACUGAUGGCGCCUGAGGUUGACCCCCUUACCGAUGCUGCCUUUAGCCUGCCUUCUAUAGGAUCUAUCAACUGGAACAUGAACCCUGUGACAAUUGACACUCCCUAGCAUUCAUCCUCCUCACACUCUCCUUAUGUUAAACCAGACCUUAGACAAUGCCAGUGCCUCAAUGCUAAAUGGCUACACAAGCCCAUUGACAAGUGACAGUAGUAGUAAUGCUAUCAGUAGAUCCGGUGGCCAUGAUAAGCACUUCCUGUGUUUGUUGUGUGGGAAAGCCUUCUGUUUCCCCAAACAGGUGGAGAUCCACCAGAGGAUGCACAUGGGGAAAAAUCUUUUGGCCUGUGUGAGAAUAUGUUCUCCCAACAGCACCAGCUGAAGAUGCACCUUCUGCAGUCCAUGAGGACCUGAUGAUAUCCGGUGUUGCUGGCACUUGAGGAGCGGGACACUAAUCUGGACCCCUAUAAGAAAUCCAGCUAUGCCCUCAGACGAACCAUCAAACAAGCAAAGUGUCAAUACAGGAUUAAGAUUGAAUCGUACUACACCUUCUCUGAUGCUCGUCGGAUGUGGCAGGGCUUGGAAACUAUUACGGACUACAAAGGGAAACCCAGCCGCGAGCUGCCCAGUGACGCGAGCCUACCAGACGAGCUAAAUGCCUUUUAUGCUCGCUUCAAGGCAAGCAAUACAUAAGCAUGCACGAGAUUACCAGCUGUUCUGGAUGACUGUGUGAUAUUGCUCUCUGUAGCUGAUGUGAGCAAGAUCUUUAAACAGGUCAACGUUCACAAAGACACGGGGCCAGAUGGAUUACCAGGAUGUGUACUCAAAGCAUGCGCAGACCAACUGGCAAGUGUCUUCACUGACAUUUUCAAUCUCUCCCUGACUGAGUCUGUAAUACCUACAUGUUUCAAGCAGACCACCAUGGUUCCUGUGCCCAAGGAAGUAAAGGUAACCUGCCUAAAUGAUUACCGCCCCGUAACAAUCACGUCGGUAGCCAUGAUGUGCUUUGAAAGGCUGGUCAUGGCUCCCAUCAACAGCAUCAUCACGGAAACCCUAGACCCACUCCAAUUCGCAUACGGCCCCAAAAGAUCCACAGAUGAUGCAAUCUCAAUCGUACUCCACACUGCCCUUUCCCACCUGGACAAAAGGAAGACCUAUGUGAGAAUGCUAUUCAUUGACUCAUUGUGCCCACGAAGCUCAUCACUAAGCUAAGGACCCUGGGACUAAACACCUCCCUCUGCAACUGGAUCCUGGACUUCCUGACGGGCCGCCCCCAGGUGGUAAGGGUAGGCAACAACACGUCUGCCGCGCUGAUCCUCAACACUGGGGCCCCUCAGUCGUGUGUACUUAGUCCCCUCCUGUACUCCCUGUUCACCCACGACUGCGUGGCCAAACACCAUCAUUAAGUUUGCUGAUGACACAACAGUGGAAGGCCUGAUCACCGACAUCAAUGAGACAGCCUAUAGGGACGAGGUCAGAGAACUGUCAGUGUGGUGCCAGGACAACAACCUCUCCCUCAAUGUGAGCAAGACAAAGGAGCUGAUCGUGGACUACAGGUAAAUUUGGGCCGAACAGGCUCCCGUUAACAUCAACGGGACUGUAGUGGAGCGGUUCAAGAGUUUCAAGUUCCUUGGUGUCCAAAUCACCAAUGAUCUAUCAUGGUCCUAACACACCAAGACAGUCGUGAAGAGGGCAUGACAAAACCUUUUCCCCCUCAGGAGACUGAAAAGAUUUGGUAUGAGUCCCCAGAUCUUCAAAAAGUUCUACAGCUGCACCAUCGAGAUCAUCCUGACCGGUAGCAUCACUGCCUGGUAUGGCAUCUGACCGUAAGGCGCUACAGAGGGUAGUGCGUACGGCCCAGUACAUCACUGGGGCCAAGCUUCCUGCAAUCCAGGACCUAUAUAAUAGGUGGUUUCAGAGGAAAGCCCAUAAAAUGGUCAGAGACUCCAGUCACCCACUCAUUGACUGUUUUCUUUGCUACAGAACGGCAAGAGGUACCGGAGCGCCAAGCCUAGGACCAAAAGGCUCCUCAACAGCUUCUACCCCCAAGCCAUAAGACUGCUGAACAAUUAAUCAAACUGCCACGGGAUUAUUACAUUGACACCCCACCCCCUCCUCCAUUUGUUUUAUUGCUACUUGCUGUUUAUUAUCUAUGCAUAGUCACUUCACCCCUACCUACAUGUACAAAUUGCCUCUAACCUAUACCCCCGCACACUGACUCUGUACCGCUACCCCUUGUAUAUAGCCUUGUUAUUGUUAUGUUAUUGUGUUACUUAUUUUUUACUUUAGUUUGUUUGGUAAAUGUUUUUUUUCUUUUGUUUUUUAAACUUUUUUACUGCUUUUUUCUCCCCAAUUUUGUGGUAUCCAAUUGGUAGUAGCUACAGUCUUGUCUCAUCGCGGCAACUCCUGUAUGGACUCGGGAGAGGUGAAGGUCGCGAGCCAAGCAUCCCCCGAAACACAACCCAACCUAGCCGCACUGCUUCUUGACACAACGCACAUCCAACCCGGAAGCCAGUCGCACCAAUGUGUCGGAGGAAACACUGUACACCUGGCGACCUGGUCAGCGUGCACUGUGCCUGGCCCGCCACAGGAGUCGCUAGUGCGUGAUGAGACAAGGAUAUCCCUGCUGGCCAAACCCUCCCUAACCCGGACGACGCUAGGCCAAUUGUGUCGCGGCCAGCUGCGACAGAGCCUGGGCUCGAACCCAGAUUCUCUAGUGGCACAGCUAGACCACUGCGCCACCCGGGAGGCCCUUGUAAAUAUUUUCUUAACUCUUCUUGAAAUGCACUGUUGGUUAAGGGCUUGUAAGUAAGCAUUUCAAGGUAACUUGUUGUAUUUGGCGCAUGUGACAAAGUUUGAUUUGAUUUUCCUCUCCUGAAAACCCUGAGCAGUCGAGAGAUGGUGAACUCUCAGAAAUUGAACCGGAGAAAAAUUAUUUGUAAGAUCCUGCGCUGAGCGGUGAGGUGAAGGCUUCCAAGCCUCAACCGAAUCACCAGGAAAAUACUAGAGAUGACUUGGGCCCAGUGGGAGUACAAUUCUUGAGGAGCAUGCUAACAGAUACAUUGUGAUAUAGCUAGUUAGCAUUGGCUUGCGAAACUAGCUCUAACUUCCAUACUGGACAUAAAAAUGGUAUCCACUAGUUCAUCUGCCUGGGGAAGUAGUAUCCUGAAGUAUCCAUUUAAAUUGUACUGUACAGAUGGAAUGGAAAUCCCAGAAGAUUGAAUUGGUAGUAGCAGCAGAGAAGUGUUUGGGUGUCAUAUUUGAAUGUAGAAGGAACUACGGGGGUUUUGAGAGAAGGGGUUCCAGCCUCCCAGACUGAUGGUGUUGAUGUAGGACCUGUUAGGGCCAAAGUAGUGUGAAGGGGUGGUGGAGUGUGUUGAGAGAUAAUGCUAUAUAGAGAGCAAUUUUAAUGGUGUCUUUUCAUAGGCACUAACACCCUCCAUGGUUUGUUGUAAGGCCUAUAGGGAAAUUAAUGGAGUUUUUGUAGGGUUUUUGGAUAAAUGCUGGAAAUAAGGUCUGUGGUAAACACAGGUUGUGUCUGAAUACCCAUACUAGUGUACUAUAUACUUAAACUGCAUGGUAUGUACUCAUUUCAGUGCUAGAGGCGUCACUACAGACCCUGGUUCGAUUCCAGGCUGUAUCACAACCAGCCGUGAUUGGGAGUCCCAAAGGGUAGCGCACAAUUGGCCCAGCGUCGUCUGGGUUAGGCCAUCAUUGUAAAUAAGAAUUUGUUCUUAACAGACUUGCCUAGUUAAAUAAAGGUAUAAAACAAAUUGU
Long non-coding RNA from Oncorhynchus tshawytscha (Chinook salmon), 4064 nucleotides. The record is from Ensembl. Lineage: Eukaryota; Metazoa; Chordata; Actinopteri; Salmoniformes; Salmonidae.